AUUGUUUUUUGAGGUAAAUUCCAUGAUGCAUCUGAAAGUGUUUUUGAGUUGAGAGUGUUUUGCAUAUGAACUGAACACUCGCUUAAAACUCCACUGAUGAUUAUUAGUGUCUGACACCGACACACACACACACACACACACACACACACACUCACACACACACUUAAAACAAUGAUGUCUCUUAUUCUAAUGCUGUGGACACUCGGUCUGCUCGCUCAAGUGUCUCAUCAAGAGGUUCAGUCUCCUGAGUCUCUGAGUGUUAAAGCAGGAGAGUCAGUCUCUAUGAGCUGCACUGGGACCAGUGGAGUUGGUGAUGACAUGAGCUGGUAUCUGCAGAAACCUGGAGAAGCUCCUAAACUCCUGAUCUAUAAAGCAAGUCGACUUCAAUCUGGAGUCCCAGAUCGGUUCACUGGAAGUUAUUCUGGACUUCAUUUCACACUGAAUCUACGUGGAGUCCAGCCUGAGGAUGCAGGAGUUUAUUACUGUAUGGGGUAUUACGGUAGCAGGUUCACACAGUGAAACAACAUCAUACAAAAACCUCCCUCAGUCAGACACUACAGAGAACAUGAGAGUAAUUUCAGGCUAGUUGCCUUGUACAACAGUUGAACAAAAGGACAUGAACACUUAAAGGCCUAAUGAAGAUGUUCCUAAGUAUUUAGCUAUUUAUUCACUUCAAUUGUCAUUUCAUACUUAGCAGAAAUGAAUAUAUGUGCAAUUUUGAUCUCAGCCUCAUUGUGGACAGAAGCUUGUUUUUAUGAUUAUAGGCUAAAAACAAUUAAAGCUUAUUAUAUGCAGCACAAAAAUACAUCACAUUAUAUUUAAUAUGAACAUGUGAACUCAUGCCAUCAAAACAUACUGAAACUAUUCUCUUUUUUAAUAUUACUUCAAUAUUUUUCAGUAUAAAAAAAUUAUGUUAUUAUUCAUAUUACUCACAUCCACAAUAUUACAUAUGUACAAUAGACUUUGUUAAAAUUGUAUACUAUAAAAUUAAUUAUCAAACAUGAAAAAAAGAUAUUUAACAGGUAUUUAAAAAUGUAUUUGAAGUUGCUGGUAUACAAAGUAAUAUCAUAAGACAUGUUCUUGGAUUAGUUUGUCCUGGAACAACAUAAGUGUCAAAGAAAUAUCCAAACUCCAUCCCUCAACACAACUCUAAACAUAUUACCAAAAGAAUUACAGGGAAAUUAUAGGUUGUUGUCCAGAAAUGUUGUCCAAGCCUUAACCUAAAUAUGACCCUUUCCCAAUUCUUAAAAUAUAAUUAAUUUACAAGGAUUAUCAAGAAUGUUGAUCUAACAAGUCCAAAAUGGCAAAAUCAGGAUUACCACAAUCCAUCUUUCUGCAGCACACCGAUACUCAGAGAAUCCCUUACUGCAGACACACAUGGCUUCAAACACAGGAUUAUAUUUGGCAUUCAUAAUAUUUUCAGAUUAAAUAGAUUUCAACGAGUUGCGACGUUGAAAUUUUUUUCAGGGUUUUUUUUUUUUUUUGUGCUCUAUAAUCUCAAUUAAAAU
Molecule: non-coding RNA, 1508 nt
Organism: Megalobrama amblycephala (Wuchang bream)
Lineage: Eukaryota; Metazoa; Chordata; Actinopteri; Cypriniformes; Xenocyprididae
Source: the annotation of a RefSeq genome assembly